GGGUUGUGAGGUUAAGCGACUAAGCGUACACGGUGGAUGCCUAGGCAGUCAGAGGCGAUGAAGGGCGUGCUAAUCUGCGAAAAGCGUCGGUAAGCUGAUAUGAAGCGUAAUAACCGACGAUACCCGAAUGGGGAAACCCAGUGCAAUUCGUUGCACUAUUGCAUGGUGAAUACAUAGCCAUGCAAGGCGAACCGGGGGAACUGAAACAUCUAAGUACCCCGAGGAAAAGAAAUCAACCGAGAUUCCCCCAGUAGCGGCGAGCGAACGGGGAAGAGCCCAGAGUCUGAAUCAGUUGGUGUGUUAGUGGAAGCGUCUGGAAAGUCGCACGGUACAGGGUGAUAGUCCCGUACACAAAAACACACUGGCUGUGAACUCGAUGAGUAGGGCGGGACACGUGACAUCCUGUCUGAAUAUGGGGGGACCAUCCUCCAAGGCUAAAUACUCCUGACUGACCGAUAGUGAACCAGUACCGUGAGGGAAAGGCGAAAAGAACCCCGGCGAGGGGAGUGAAAUAGAACCUGAAACCGUGUACGUACAAGCAGUGGGAGCACCUUCGUGGUGUGACUGCGUACCUUUUGUAUAAUGGGUCAGCGACUUAUAUUUUGUAGCAAGGUUAACCGAAUAGGGGAGCCGUAGGGAAACCGAGUCUUAACUGGGCGUCUAGUUGCAAGGUAUAGACCCGAAACCCGGUGAUCUAGCCAUGGGCAGGUUGAAGGUUGGGUAACACUAACUGGAGGACCGAACCGACUAAUGUUGAAAAAUUAGCGGAUGACUUGUGGCUGGGGGUGAAAGGCCAAUCAAACCGGGAGAUAGCUGGUUCUCCCCGAAAGCUAUUUAGGUAGCGCCUCGUGAACUCAUCUUCGGGGGUAGAGCACUGUUUCGGCUAGGGGUCCAUCCCGGAUUACCAAACCGAUGCAAACUCCGAAUACCGAAGAAUGUUAUCACGGGAGACACACGGCGGGUGCUAACGUCCGUCGUGAAGAGGGAAACAACCCAGACCGCCAGCUAAGGUCCCAAAGUCAUGGUUAAGUGGGAAACGAUGUGGGAAGGCAUAGACAGCCAGGAUGUUGGCUUAGAAGCAGCCAUCAUUUAAAGAAAGCGUAAUAGCUCACUGGUCGAGUCGGCCUGCGCGGAAGAUGUAACGGGGCUAAACCAUGCACCGAAGCUGCGGCAGCGACGCUUAGGCGUUGUUGGGUAGGGGAGCGUUCUGUAAGCCGUUGAAGGUGGCCUGUGAGGGCUGCUGGAGGUAUCAGAAGUGCGAAUGCUGACAUAAGUAACGAUAAUGCGGGUGAAAAACCCGCACGCCGGAAGACCAAGGGUUCCUGUCCAACGUUAAUCGGGGCAGGGUGAGUCGACCCCUAAGGCGAGGCUGAAAAGCGUAGUCGAUGGGAAACAGGUUAAUAUUCCUGUACUGGGUGUGACUGCGAAGGGGGGACGGAGAAGGCUAGGCUAGCCGGGCGACGGUUGUCCCGGUUUAAGCAUGUAGGCGGAGCGACUUGGUAAAUCCGGUUGCUUAUCAACGCUGAGGUGUGAUGACGAGCCACUACGGUGGUGAAGUAGUUGAUGCCAAGCUUCCAGGAAAAGCCUCUAAGCAUCAGGUGACAUUCAAUCGUACCCCAAACCGACACAGGUGGUCAGGUAGAGAAUACUCAGGCGCUUGAGAGAACUCGGGUGAAGGAACUAGGCAAAAUGGUGCCGUAACUUCGGGAGAAGGCACGCUGGCAUUAGGUAAAGAGACUUGCUCUCGGCGCCGAAGCCAGUCGCAGAUACCAGCUGGCUGCAACUGUUUAAUAAAAACACAGCACUGUGCAAACACGAAAGUGGACGUAUACGGUGUGACGCCUGCCCGGUGCUGGAAGGUUAAUUGAUGGGGUCAGCCGCAAGGCGAAGCUCUUGAUCGAAGCCCCAGUAAACGGCGGCCGUAACUAUAACGGUCCUAAGGUAGCGAAAUUCCUUGUC
Molecule: ribosomal RNA, 1959 nt
Filed under: Yersinia ruckeri
Lineage: Bacteria; Pseudomonadati; Pseudomonadota; Gammaproteobacteria; Enterobacterales; Yersiniaceae
Description: bacterial LSU rRNA
Rfam family: Bacterial large subunit ribosomal RNA
Source: RNAcentral